UUUGGCAUAUCAAAAAGCGGAGGAAAAGAAACCAACAGGGAUUGCCCUAGUAACGGCGAGUGAAGCGGCAACAGCUCAAAUUUGAAAUCUGGCCUCUUUUGGGGUCCGAGUUGUAAUUUGCAGAGGGCGCUUUGGAGUCGGCAGCGGUCCAAGUUCCUUGGAACAGGACGUCACAGAGGGUGAGAAUCCCGUACGUGGUCGCUAGCCUUCUCCGUGUAAAGCCCCUUCGACGAGUCGAGUUGUUUGGGAAUGCAGCUCUAAAUGGGAGGUAAAUUUCUUCUAAAGCUAAAUAUUGGCCAGAGACCGAUAGCGCACAAGUAGAGUGAUCGAAAGAUGAAAAGCACUUUGGAAAGAGAGUCAAAAAGCACGUGAAAUUGUUGAAAGGGAAGCGCUUGCAGCCAGACUUGCCUGUAGUUGCUCAUCCGGGCUUUUGCCCGGUGCACUCUUCUAUAGGCAGGCCAGCAUCAGUUUGGGCGGUUGGAUAAAGGUCUCUGUCAUGUACCUCUCUUCGGGGAGAACUUAUAGGGGAGACGCCAUGCAACCAGCUCAGACUGAGGUCCGCGCAUUCGCUAGGAUGCUGGCGUAAUGGCUGUAAGCGGCCCGUCUUGAAACACGGACCCAAAA
Molecule: ribosomal RNA, 624 nt
Filed under: Wilsonomyces carpophilus
Lineage: Eukaryota; Fungi; Ascomycota; Dothideomycetes
Description: partial large subunit ribosomal RNA
Rfam family: Eukaryotic large subunit ribosomal RNA
Source: RNAcentral